Molecule: ribosomal RNA, 468 nt
Filed under: uncultured bacterium
Lineage: Bacteria
Description: partial 16S ribosomal RNA
Rfam family: Bacterial small subunit ribosomal RNA
Source: RNAcentral
GACGAACGCUGGCGGCGUGCUUAACACAUGCAAGUCGAACGGUGAAGCUCCAUCUUGCUGGAGUGGAUCAGUGGCGAACGGGUGAGUAACACGUGAGCAACCUGCCCCUGACUCUGGAAUAAGCGCUGGAAACGGCGUCUAAUACUGGAUACGAGAAGGGUCCGCAUGGGCACUUUCUGGAAAGUUUUUCGGUUGGGGAUGGGCUCGCGGCCUAUCAGCUUGUUGGUGAGGUAAUGGCUCACCAAGGCGACGACGGGUAGCCGGCCUGAGAGGGCGACCGGCCACACUGGGACUGAGACACGGCCCAGACUCCUACGGGAGGCAGCAGUGGGGAAUAUUGCACAAUGGGCGAAAGCCUGAUGCAGCGACGCCGCGUGAGGGAUGACGGCCUUCGGGUUGUAAACCUCUUUCAGCAGGGAAGAAGCGAAAGUGACGGUACCUGCAGAAGAAGCACCGGCUAACUACGUG